GGCGCACGGGUGAGUAACACGUAUGCAACCUGACCUGUAAGCCGGGGAAGUAACCCGUUGAAAGACGGACUAAUACCGCUAUAAUACUAAAUUACUGCAUGGUAAUUUAUUUAAACAUUUAUGGCUUACAGAUGGGCAUGCGCGAUGAUUAGCUAGUUGGAGAGGUAACGGCUCCCAAGGCAACGAUCAUUAGGGGUUCUGAGAGGAAGGUCCCCCACACUGGUACUGAGACACGGACCAGACUCCUACGGGAGGCAGCAGGUGAGGAAUAUUGGUCAAUGGACGAGAGUCUGAACCGAGCCAAGUCGCGUGCAGGAAGAAUGUCCCUAUGGAUUGUAAACUGCUUUUGCAGGGGAAUAAAGUGCAUCACGUGUGAUGUUUUGUAUGUACUCUGCGAAUAAGGAUCGGCUAACUCCGUGCCAGCCGCCGC
Molecule: ribosomal RNA, 430 nt
Filed under: uncultured bacterium
Lineage: Bacteria
Description: bacterial SSU rRNA
Rfam family: Bacterial small subunit ribosomal RNA
Source: RNAcentral